This 335-nucleotide long non-coding RNA is filed under the name Elaeis guineensis (African oil palm). RNAcentral describes it as "long non-coding RNA (EGUI_LNC023761)". The record is from RNAcentral. Lineage: Eukaryota; Viridiplantae; Streptophyta; Magnoliopsida; Arecales; Arecaceae.
AGGUUAAUAGUUUUUCUUUACAAUCUCAUGGAAAACUCGAAGCAAAGAGAAUUCAAAGAUGGAAGGGAUGCCAGACAAAAGUUUCAGAUGGAUGAUCCCUUGAGCUGCCUAUUGGUCGCCAAUACUGGCUACUUUCUAAUCGUUCAAUAAUUAAAAGUAGUGGCAGUCUGAUGGGCCACAAGCAUAUGUAGGAUGGUGGUGGACGAAAGGCCGGUUGGUGACCGUGUGGACUGCACAGCGGUUGUUUAUGAUAACCCGUGACGAAGUGGUCCCGGGGGACUCCAUAGCUUCUCGGUCUUGUCACUGCUUGGCUCAUCGGAAGCCAAAGCCGCCAG